Molecule: ribosomal RNA, 120 nt
Filed under: uncultured bacterium
Lineage: Bacteria
Description: partial 16S ribosomal RNA
Rfam family: Bacterial small subunit ribosomal RNA
Source: RNAcentral
GCGCAGAAAGAUGAGCCGACGUCGGAUUAGCUAGUUGGAGGGGUAAUGGCCCACCAAGGCGACGAUCCGUAGCUGGUCUGAGAGGAUGAUCAGCCACACUGGGACUGAGACACGGCCCAG